Myotis lucifugus (little brown bat) is the source of this 106-nucleotide small nuclear RNA. Lineage: Eukaryota; Metazoa; Chordata; Mammalia; Chiroptera; Vespertilionidae. The record is from Ensembl.
GUGCUGGUUUCGGCAGCACAGACACUAAAACGGAAACGGUAGAAAGAAGAUUAGCAUGGCCUCUUGCAAAGGUGACACACAAGUUCGUGAAGCAUAAAAAAUAAAC